Molecule: ribosomal RNA, 403 nt
Filed under: bacterium
Lineage: Bacteria
Description: partial 16S ribosomal RNA
Rfam family: Bacterial small subunit ribosomal RNA
Source: RNAcentral
UGGGGAAUAUUGCACAAUGGGGGAAACCCUGAUGCAGCGACGCCGCGUGAACGAAGAAGGUAUUCGUAUCGUAAAGUUCUGUCCUAUGGGCAGAUAAUGACAGUACCAUAGAAGAAAGCCCCGGCUAAAUACGUGCCAGCAGCCGCGGUAAUACGUAUGGAGCGAGCGUUGUCCGGAAUUAUUGGGCGUAAAGGGUACGCAGGCGGUUUAAUAAGUCGAAUGUUAAAGAUCGGGGCUCAACCCCGCAAAGCAUUGGAAACUGAUAAACUUGAGUAGUGGAGAGGAAAGUGGGAUUCCUAGUGUAGUGGUCAAAUGCCUAGGUAUUAGGAAGAAUACCAGUAGCGAAGGCGACUUUCUGGACACAAACUGACGCUGAAGUACGAAAGCGUAGGGAGCAAACAGG